ACGUACGCUGGCGGCACGCCUAACACAUGCAAGUCGAACGAAGUAGCAAUACUUAGUGGCAGACGGGUGAGUAACAUGUAGGUAUCUGCCCUUUGGCCUGGAAUAACACGAGGAAACUUGUGCUAAUACCGGAUAAGUCUUUACGGAGAAAGCUUUAUGCACCAUUGGAUGAGCCUGCACUUGAUUAGUUUGUUGGUGGGGUAAUGGCCUACCAAGACUGUGAUCAAUAGCUGAUUUGAGAGGAUGAUCAGCCACAUUGGGACUGAGACACGGCCCAAACUCCUACGGGAGGCAGCAGUGGGGAAUCUUGCACAAUGGAGGAAACUCUGAUGCAGCGAUGCCGCGUGAGUGAAGAAGGCCUUUGGGUUGUAAAGCUCUUUCGUCGGGGAAGAAAAUGACUGUACCCGAAUAAGAAGGUCCGGCUAACUUCGUGCCAGCAGCCGCGGUAAUACGAAGGGACCUAGCGUAGUUCGGAAUUACUGGGCUUAAAGAGUUCGUAGGUGGUUGAAAAAGUUAGUGGUGAAAUCCCAGAGCUUAACUCUGGAACUGCCAUUAAAACUUUUCAGCUAGAGUAUGAUAGAGGAAAGCAGAAUUUCUAGUGUAGAGGUGAAAUUCGUAGAUAUUAGAAAGAAUACCAAUUGCGAAAGGCAGCUUUCUGGAUCAUUACUGACACUGAGGAACGAAAGCAUGGGUAGCGAAGAGGAUUAGAUACCCUCGUAGUCCAUGCCGUAAACGAUGUGUGUUAGACGUUGGAAAUUUAUUUUCAGUGUCGCAGCGAAAGCGAUAAACACACCGCCUGGGGAGUACGACCGCAAGGUUAAAACUCAAAUGAAUUGACGGGGACCCGCACAAGUAGUGGAGCAUGUGGUUUAAUUCGAAGAUACGCGCAGAACCUUACCAACACUUGACAUGUUCGUCGCGACUCUAAGAGAUUAGAGUUUUCGGUUCGGCCGGACGAAACACAGGUGCUGCAUGGCUGUCGUCAGCUCGUGUCGUGAGAUGUUGGGUUAAGUCCCGCAACGAGCGCAACCCUCACUUUUAGUUGCCAUCAUUAAGUUGGGCACUCUGAAAGAACUGCCAGUGAUAAGCUGGAGGAAGGUGGGGAUGACGUCAAGUCCUCAUGGCCCUUACGUGUUGGGCUACACACGUGCUACAAUGGUAUUUACAACAGGAAGCAAGACUGCGAAGUUAAGCAAAUCCCUAAAAGAUACCUCAGUUCGGAUUGCACUCUGCAACUCGAGUGCAUGAAGCUGGAAUUACUAGUAAUCGUGGAUCAGCGUGCCACGGUGAAUGCGUUCCCGGGUCUUGUACACACCGCC
RNAcentral lists this ribosomal RNA (1319 nucleotides) under uncultured Alphaproteobacteria bacterium. RNAcentral's name for it is "bacterial SSU rRNA". It matches the Rfam family "Bacterial small subunit ribosomal RNA", at positions 29 to 1394 of the family's 1533-position model. Lineage: Bacteria; Pseudomonadati; Pseudomonadota; Alphaproteobacteria. The record is from RNAcentral.